Long non-coding RNA from Oreochromis aureus, 341 nucleotides. Lineage: Eukaryota; Metazoa; Chordata; Actinopteri; Cichliformes; Cichlidae. The record is from Ensembl.
GUUGACAUAGAGCCACCAUUCAAACUUUAAAACGAAGACAAGACAUUCAACUAUUCAAUUUGUAUUUAUCUUUUCAAUAUCUAUUAUACUUUUUCUUCAGUUCCAGUUUAAGUUUCAUGAUGUUUUUUCACCCGUUUCAGAGUUUAUAAUGGGUGUGUAUGGGACGGAAUGUUGGGGCUAGAGUGAGACAGCUCAACUGCUAGAGUGAGAGGAGCAAAAAAAUUAAUCUUAAAAUAUUUUUUAAAACUGCUGCUGUGUCCGCAGCGUUUGCUCUACAGGUCUGAUUUUACCCUCAAAACGUAGCCAUCGCUGUCCUCUUUCAUCCAAUGUGUUUACUAUUG